CUGUCUGUGACCCGCGCAGGGCUCCGACCGGGCCGGGCACGGGUCCGGCUGCAGCUUGGGAUGGUCCCGUUUCGCUUUGCUGCAAGCUCGCCAGUCACGGAGAUGGGCCGGGCGAGGUCAGGCGGGGCUGGCGGCCCCGCGGGGCCUCUCAGCACACACGCCCUCAGGAGAAGGCACCAGCGCGGGGGCUCUUCGUGCCCCCCAGGCCGCGCAGGGCCCGCUGAGGCUCUAGAGCACGCGGAGCUUGUGGAGGAGAAACCUGGCGGACAGGAGUCUACUGACCGUGGCGGGGGAAAAUCCCCUCGCUCGGGUCUGCCUGCGCUGCCCUGGUACUGCCGAGGCUCCCGACUGCUGCUGGUGUGCGCUGCCCGUGCUAGGGUAGCGGUACAGGGUACACGGCACAGGGCAGCUCCUGCGCACUGUGUGUCACCCGACUGUGCUGCAGCGGGGCAAACUCCGGGCUCCGGCCGCGCCCCGGGCACUGCCAGCUCGGGGCUGCUGCAAAGCCGCCGCUCUUUGCUCUAGGCAAGGGGCCACGCCCGGUGCCCUGGGCCAGUGGCGCAGGGAGCGAGGCGCUCACCGGUUCCCCGAAGACAAUCCGACUGCCCCGAGCGGCUGUUGACUGUUCCGGAGCUGCGGCCCGUACUGAACCAGACGUUUUUGUCAGGCCCGGGGCGAGUCCAGCGAAGUUUUGGAAGGAGGAAGAUGUGCCAGACAACAGAGGCAGAGAAUCCCCAGAGUUGGAGUAUAACACAGCUGUCCUGCCCGUCCAGGCCUCCGACCAUGGUAAAACGGUCUAACAGAAGCCUCCACACCCUGGGUGUGGAAACUCUUGCCUAAGUGUCGGGGUUGCAUCAGCUGGGUACCGCAGAGCGGCUGUUGGGAACCAGCACAGGGGGUUUUUUUCACGCCAUCAGGCACAUCUGGGAUGCAUCUAACUGACACAACUGAGAGUAAGGCGUGUUCCCUGCUCCCAUCCCCACGCUGUCCUCCAUGGUCCCACACUGUGCAGAGGGCUGGGAGGUCACAGCUGGGCACUGCUCUCCAUAGCAAGCAGCAUAAGUGGCAUGUGCCGGCUGGAGUGGGCACUGGCCACAUGCCAGCUCCUGCCUAGCCCAGACUCUUGCCUUCAGCCCUUGUUCUUUCCAAGUUUCAUCAUCCCCUUUAGCAGUUUACCAAGGCCCAAGGAAGGGACCUGUGCUGUAAGCUCCAAAUACAAGAGGGAGCCUAUAGAGUUCUCAGUUGCCUUCGUGAGCCUUUGACCAGGAAGAGAGCUGAGCCCCCUCCUGCAGGUUCUCCCACACCAUGGAUUCUGUAAAGAGCUUUUCAUGGCUACACUUUCCUUACCCUUAACACAAACAUGCCACAUGCUCUGUAAACAUCCGCAGGCUCUUA
Cyanistes caeruleus (blue tit) is the source of this 1395-nucleotide long non-coding RNA. RefSeq lists it as uncharacterized. Lineage: Eukaryota; Metazoa; Chordata; Aves; Passeriformes; Paridae. The record is from RefSeq and is a predicted model, not a curated record.